Molecule: long non-coding RNA, 247 nt
Organism: Lepisosteus oculatus (spotted gar)
Lineage: Eukaryota; Metazoa; Chordata; Actinopteri; Semionotiformes; Lepisosteidae
Source: RefSeq, a predicted model, not a curated record
CAUUAACCAUCCACUGUUCCCAUCAGUUUAAAGAAACUCUUUAGACAUCAACUCAGCAUAUUUGCAAACCAAGAAAGAACCAGCUCAAACAUGCUAGAAAGUAGUCAUCGAUGUAAUUGCUAUUUUCCCAUCGGCGGUGGAAAACGUCUGGCAAGACUAUAAUCCCAGCAUGGAAGAGACCUCCACAAGACCUGCCUGUUCAGCUGCUCAAACCAUAACUCUAAAUCCUGCUGUCCUUCUGUACUUG